CUGAGUCCUAUGUGUGGAGGGACAGUAACUGUGUGUGUAUAUGUGGCACUAUGUUAAAGACAGAGACAUGAAAAUAGUAGCCCCCCAUUUUAUUUUAUGCUCAGAGACACUUUCGUUUAGUAGGCCACUGUAAUGUCAGUUUUACUGUUGUAUAAGUUCCACCAGCAGAGGGCGCUCAGUCCUGUACGCAUCGGUAGCUGACGCUACACUAGAAGAAGUAGUGUCAGUGGUGAAGAGGCAGCGUACGGCCCGCGCGCCGAAAGAACUGAUUAAUCAGACAUUUUUCUGUCUUUACAGUCUCUUCCAGGUUGAAACCAGGAGAUUGGAUCCUGAUAAAAGUGCUCCAGAGGGAAAAGUGGAGCUCCCCGAGGUGGGAAGGACCCUACCAAGUCCUCCUGGCCACACCAACAGCCUGCAAAAUUGCUGAACGACCUUCCUGGAUUCAUCAGAGCCACUGUAAAAAAUCUACUCACUCACAGGACCAGGUGUGUUCGGUCAUCAUGAAGACCAUACUCGUUCUGGUGGCCAGUGUCACAUUUCUGUUGGGACUGCUGUCGCUGAUUUCAGAAGAAGAAGGACAAGAUUGACACAUGACACAAUACAUCCAGACGACAUGACACAAGAUCACAACCACCCAUGGAUGAACAAUGCCUGGUACCGUUAUGUGUAAAACUCCACAAGAGACAGAAACUAUUACAUCUGUUCGCACAUGUCUCUUAAUGCAAAACACCUGAUAAUGUGCAUUCCACCAACUUGUCUGACACACUGAACACGCUACGUCAGCUCAGACGAGUACAGCAGCAAGAUUACACACACAACACCGAGGACUGGCUCACAUGGCUGCUUAGCGGGUCAUGGAAGUCAUUACUCACAAAAGGACUAACAUUCGUUGGAAUGCUCCUUAUGUUACUUUGCUUAUUUUCCACAUGUGUACUGCCUUGUAUUCGGAGUAUGAUAAGCAAAACGUUUACUGUAAGAUUGCAAGCUUACAUUGCAUUAUCCCAAGUUGAACAAGCUCGAGAAAAGGUACAAGUUGAAGAAGAUGAUUUUUAAGCACUAAACUGUGUGAACCCAAUAAAGUUGAUCAUGUACGUUUUCACAAAAUGAUACUCUAGUUGAAAAUGCUUCUGCAAGUGACUAGUAGUUGAAGAACAUAAAUAUAUAUGAACAACAGCAGGGAAUGUUAAGGGAUUUUGUGAUUUUAUGAUGUUUUUCCUUUUUAAUACAUCUUCCUUUUUAAUGUUUCAUUUACUCAGUUCUCCUUAUAAUGUUCCAUUUACUCAUUUACUCAUAUGCUCCUGUUAAGAAAGGCUUGGAAAGCACAUAGUGUUCACAUAUCUUUAUGUUUUGUCUUUGCUUCUUCUCACACACAUACACAUGAGCCCUGCAGUAUUCGCUGACUCCUGUGAAAGUCUCUUGCAGACACCCUUGGAAACAGGACCCAACUGGCUUCUGUUUUCCUCGAGAUAGACAAUACACUCACACACACACACACACACACACUGUGUCCCAUACAUGCCCAGAUUGUUUGUUACAGCCUGACAAAACAGGGAAUGCUACGAAGUAUAAAUAAAGCUGACUGCAAAGCCUCGGAG
Molecule: long non-coding RNA, 1595 nt
Organism: Oreochromis aureus
Lineage: Eukaryota; Metazoa; Chordata; Actinopteri; Cichliformes; Cichlidae
Source: Ensembl